GAUGAACGCUGGCGGUGUGCCUAAUACAUGCAAGUCGAGCGAACAGUUAAGGGGUUUGCGCCUUUGACGUUAGCGGCGGACGUGUGAGUAACACGUGGAUAACCUACCUAUAAGACUGGGAUAACUUCGGGAAACCGGAGCUAAUAUCGGAUAACAUAUGCCACCGCAUGGUUCAAUAGCGAAAGGCGGCUUUGCUGCUACUUAUGCAUGGAUCCGCGCCGUAUUAGCUAGUUGGUAAGGUAACGGCUUACCAAGGCAACGAUACGUAGCCGACCUGAGAGGAUGAUCGGCCACACUGGAACUGAGACACGGUCCAGACUCCUACGGGAGGCAGCAGUAGGGAAUCUUCCGCAAUGGGCGAAAGCCUGACGGAGCAACGCCGCGUGAGUGAUGAAGGUCUUCGGAUCGUAAAACUCUGUUAUCAGGGAAGAACAAAUGUGUAAGUAACUGUGCACAUCUUGACGGUACCUGAUCAGAAAGCCACGGCUAACUACGUG
RNAcentral lists this ribosomal RNA (497 nucleotides) under uncultured bacterium. RNAcentral describes it as "partial 16S ribosomal RNA". It matches the Rfam family "Bacterial small subunit ribosomal RNA", at positions 28 to 507 of the family's 1533-position model. The record is from RNAcentral.